CGAGGAGCGGUACUUUGCCUAGGUGGUUUACUCUUUCUUUUUGUAGUUGAGAGAGUGUGAGGUUUUUGUACCCAUGUAUAGAGACCACCUAUGUAUCUACCUAUAGCAUUUGUAUCUGAAAUUUUCUUGUAUCACUUUAUGUUUUAUUUAGUGGAUUUACAGUUUUAUCCUUAUCCCUUGUUGUAGCAUUUAGACAUUUAUUAUGCUCUGAUACUCCUAGAUGUCUUGUAUUAUUGCUUUUAUUAUUGUUGUUUUUAGACGCCUUAUACGUUUUAGACGUAUGGCGGGUCUGGGCACGCGCCGAGCGGGCUUCCGCUGGGUCCCGGGGCGUGACAGAAAAUGGGGCAAAAUAGCCCCUAUGCCUUCUAAACUUUUUGUAAAGUAUUUUUGAAUGCAAAUUCAUGCUAAACAUGAUUUAUAUGAGUUUUAGAACACUUAACAUGCAUGCCUCAUGUAUCGUAAAAUUUGUACUCCAUAUAGUAGAGCUAUAUGUGUAGAUUGCAUGCAUUGUGGAUAGUGCUUGGUUUUGGAAGUUGAGAACAUGUCUCCAUGCUAGAAUUGAGUGAACUAUGCAUCAUGAACAUAUUAAUGCCAUGCUUGGGACUCGUUGAACAAAAGUGUCAUAAAGAGGCACUUGGAAUUAGUAAACUAUGCAAAUGCAACUUAGAGACAUGAUGAUAGGCCAUUGUACAUCUGCUAUAUAUUCCAUGUUAGAGACAUGAUGACAUAGAGAUAGGCCUUUGGGACAUUCGAUACAUUCCAUGUUAUUAGACAUGAGGACUUGGUACUUGUGAUAGGAUAUACGACUACUUGCCAUUGUGCUCAUUCGCACAUGCUUGUGAGGGUCGCUCCCUACAAGCCGGCACUCCGGAGAUAGCCAUCGCGAUUCAUAUUCGCCGUGCGGGAUUGGGCGCCGAAGUGGAUUGCCGUGGGCCAGGCUCAUUCCUAUGGUGGGGAUGUUGACUACCACGGGGCCAUUAGGCUCAGCACCGGCCAGACAGCCUACGGGUGGGUCUCAGGGCCAUAGACAGCCUUCGGGUGGGUCUCUUCAGAUUUGACUUUGAGUAUUCAUUAUGACAUGUGGACAGAUGAUGACUUAGUGUACCACUUGGACAUUGACUAGAAUAGUAAACCACGGAACUUUACUAUUUCGCAUUGUGAACAUUAUGAUAGUUGGAGACUUUUACUUCAUGCAUAGUUGCUUUAUACUUAUGCCAAUUAUGCUAAGUAGAGAUAUCAUAUUGUAGUAAGUUACAUUUUUACUUACCUUUCGCUUUUCUACAUUUAUAGUCACUGACAUCUUUUGUAGCUUUGGGCCUCGUGGUGCAUUCACUGAAGUUAGUAAUUGCCCACUUUGAACUAUUUUUAAUAGUUCUCACGCCCCUGUUUUAUGGUUUCCUUUUCAGAGCCUUCGGCACCGGCGGAGGCACGGGAUCGCGGCAAGGGGAUCGCUUAGCUAGCUAGCGAUGAGCGGUACUUUGCCUAGGUGGUUACUCUUUCUUUUGUAGUUGAGAGAGUAAGAGGUUUUGUAUCCAUGUAUAGAGACCACCUAUGUAUCUACCUAUAGCACUGGUAUCUGGGAUUUUCUUGUGUCACUUUAUGUUUUAUUUAGUGGAUUUACAGUUUUAUCCUUAUCCCUUGUUGUAGCAUUUAGACAUUUAUUAUGCUCUGAUACUCCUAGAUGUCUUCUAUUAUUACUUUUAUUAUUGUUGUUUUUAGACGCCUUAUACGUUUUAGACGUAUGGCGGGUCUGGGCACGCGCCGGGCGGGCUUCCGCUGGGUCCCGGGGCGUGACAGUAAGCUUCUUCCCCUCUCAUGGUAGAACCCAAACUAAGGUUUGGAUUGAGCUAAGAAUGAUUUUAAUGGAACCUUUAGAGUAUUUGAAGCUCUAUUUUGCUUCUCUAAGAGAUCAAAACCCUAAAUUUGAUAUAUCUGAAGGUAGGGCACCCAAAUUUGGGGCUUUUGCUUGUGAGGGUUUCAAAGUGAAAUAAACCCUCUAGAAAUCUAAUUGGGGGUAUUUCCGACGCGUUGGUGCGCUCGGAUUGACGUUACGAAAAGCCUAUGUAAGGUUAUGAGCAAAAAUGCCUAACUUGGCUUCGUUUUGCC
This 2106-nucleotide long non-coding RNA is filed under the name Ananas comosus (pineapple). RNAcentral describes it as "long non-coding RNA (ACOM_LNC040013)". The record is from RNAcentral. Lineage: Eukaryota; Viridiplantae; Streptophyta; Magnoliopsida; Poales; Bromeliaceae.